This 482-nucleotide ribosomal RNA is filed under the name uncultured bacterium. RNAcentral's name for it is "partial 16S ribosomal RNA". It matches the Rfam family "Bacterial small subunit ribosomal RNA", at positions 30 to 507 of the family's 1533-position model. The record is from RNAcentral.
AUUGAACGCUGGCGGCAUGCUUUACACAUGCAAGUCGAACGGUAACAGCACUUCGGUGGCUGACGAGUGGCGAACGGGUGAGUAAUACAUCGGAACGUGCCUAGUAGUGGGGGAUAACUACUCGAAAGAGUAGCUAAUACCGCAUGAGAUCUAAGGAUGAAAGCAGGGGACCUUCGGGCCUUGCGCUACUAGAGCGGCUGAUGGCAGAUUAGGUAGUUGGUGGGAUAAAAGCUUACCAAGCCGACGAUCUGUAGCUGGUCUGAGAGGACGACCAGCCACACUGGGACUGAGACACGGCCCAGACUCCUACGGGAGGCAGCAGUGGGGAAUUUUGGACAAUGGGCGCAAGCCUGAUCCAGCAAUGCCGCGUGCAGGACGAAGGCCUUCGGGUUGUAAACUGCUUUUGUACGGAACGAAAAGCCCUCUUCUAAUACAGGAGGGUCAUGACGGUACCGUAAGAAUAAGCACCGGCUAACUACGUG